GGAGGUGUGGCAGAGUGGUCGAUUGCACCGGUCUUGAAAACCGGCAAAGGGAAACCUUUCGUGAGUUCGAAUCUCACCGCCUCCGCCA
Molecule: transfer RNA, 88 nt
Filed under: Betaproteobacteria bacterium
Lineage: Bacteria; Pseudomonadati; Pseudomonadota; Betaproteobacteria
Also listed under: 2 other names
Description: tRNA-Ser
Rfam family: tRNA
About the family: Transfer RNA (tRNA) molecules are approximately 80 nucleotides in length. Their secondary structure includes four short double-helical elements and three loops (D, anti-codon, and T loops).
Source: RNAcentral